ACAGAACUUUGAUCUAUUAGGAGGAACAGAUAUCAAACAAGCCAAUGAACCAAAGGCUGGGGCAUAUGAGAAGGAACACCCACUUUAUGCAUAGCUCCC
This is a long non-coding RNA of Homo sapiens (human), 99 nucleotides long. The record is from Ensembl. NCBI's taxonomy places the organism in Eukaryota, Metazoa, Chordata, Mammalia, Primates, Hominidae.